UGUAAUUGUGCACAUAAUAUUUAAUUUUACUAUAAGCUAUAACAUUUAAAAUUUAUGGUGAUUUAACAUUUUAUUUUUUUAAUUAAAACAUUAUCAACAUAAGAAACUAUCAUUAUAAAAAUUUGAAUUGUUGCUUGUGCUUUAGUUACCACGAAUUUUUUUACUUUAUAUAGUAAAAAUUUAAAUAAAUAUGUAAUGUUAUCUAUAGGAUUACCUUUCUUAUCAUCAAAACAUUCUCA
This 239-nucleotide long non-coding RNA is filed under the name Capsicum annuum. RNAcentral's name for it is "long non-coding RNA (CANN_LNC011082)". The record is from RNAcentral. Lineage: Eukaryota; Viridiplantae; Streptophyta; Magnoliopsida; Solanales; Solanaceae.